Molecule: long non-coding RNA, 605 nt
Filed under: Homo sapiens (human)
Lineage: Eukaryota; Metazoa; Chordata; Mammalia; Primates; Hominidae
Description: non-protein coding lnc-JUN-5:6
Source: RNAcentral
CUCCGCUGGCCCGCGUGAAACCCUCUCUGCUGCCUCGACUGACUGUCGUUUCCGUGUCUUGAUUGUGGCCUCUGCCUCUCCCCCUUCCGAUUUCGUUCGACUUCUUUCUACAGUUACUAAGCGCCCACUGUGUGCCCUGGAAGGGACUAGACUCAGCAGGAAAAACAUCCAGGCAAGUGGACAGCAUUUGCAACAGCCCAGCAAUAAGAAGGACCAUAUUCUACUUGGGAAAAGCCUGCCAGGAAACCUGUCAUUCAACCCUUUGCAAUAAAACAGCUCCUCAUGAAUGAAGCAAAAUAAAUCAGAAGUUGUGGGCUUUUAAACUCACUAAAUGAAAGCACAGCAUGCAUGCAGCCUCCCUCCAAAUUAAUCACCAGAUUAAAUGCAAGAUGUGCACACCAAAUCAAUAGCUUGUGACGGGGACCUCCUGCCUGUGCUUCAGGAAAAUUCCAUUUCCUUUCAGAUGUUGUCGCUUGAAAUGUCAGGAAGUUUCCAUUCAUCACCCGCCCUUGAAAAUGCCACCAUCACCAUACUUCAUGUUUCCUUGCUUUCUUUCUUCAGAGGAAUCCAAGCACCUUGCAGAGGGAGCCCACUCCUUGUCACAG